CAGCUGGCGCAGCUACACAUGCAGUCGAGCGGUAGCACAGAGAGCUUGCUCUCGGGUGACGAGCGGCGGACGGGUGAGUAAUGUCUGGGAAACUGCCUGAUGGAGGGGGAUAACUACUGGAAACGGUAGCUAAUACCGCAUAACGUCGCAAGACCAAAGUGGGGGACCUUCGGGCCUCAUGCCAUCAGAUGUGCCCAGAUGGGAUUAGCUGGUAGGUGGGGUAACGGCUCACCUAGGCGACGAUCCCUAGCUGGUCUGAGAGGAUGACCAGCCACACUGGAACUGAGACACGGUCCAGACUCCUACGGGAGGCAGCAGUGGGGAAUAUUGCACAAUGGGCGCAAGCCUGAUGCAGCCAUGCCGCGUGUGUGAAGAAGGCCUUCGGGUUGUAAAGCACUUUCAGCGGGGAGGAAGGCGGUGAGGUUAAUAACCUCAUCGAUUGACGUUACCCGCAGAAGAAGCACCGGCUAACUCCGUGCCAGCAGCCGCGGUAAUACGGAGGGUGCAAGCGUUAAUCGGAAUUACUGGGCGUAAAGCGCACGCAGGCGGUCUGUCAAGUCGGAUGUGAAAUCCCCGGGCUCAACCUGGGAACUGCAUUCUAAACUGGCAGGCUAGAGUCUUUGUAGAGGGGGGUU
This 635-nucleotide ribosomal RNA is filed under the name Klebsiella sp. gx-3. Its description in RNAcentral is "bacterial SSU rRNA". It matches the Rfam family "Bacterial small subunit ribosomal RNA", at positions 34 to 663 of the family's 1533-position model. Lineage: Bacteria; Pseudomonadati; Pseudomonadota; Gammaproteobacteria; Enterobacterales; Enterobacteriaceae. The record is from RNAcentral.